AACGUAGGGGGCGAGCGUUGCCCGGAUUCACUGGGCGUAAAGCGGGUGUAGGCGGUCCGUUAAGUCGGAUGUGAAAGCUCUGGGCUUAACCCAGAAAUCGCAUCCGAUACUGGCGGACUUGAGGACGGUAGAGGUCGGUGGAAUUCCCGGUGUACCGGUGAAAUGGACAGAUAUCGGGAGGAACACCAGUGGCGAAGGCGGCCGACUGGGCCGAUCCUGACGCUGAGACGCGAAAGCCAGGGGAGCGAACCGG
RNAcentral lists this ribosomal RNA (253 nucleotides) under uncultured bacterium. Its description in RNAcentral is "partial 16S ribosomal RNA". It matches the Rfam family "Bacterial small subunit ribosomal RNA", at positions 524 to 776 of the family's 1533-position model. The record is from RNAcentral.